GAAUAUUGGGCAAUGCCCGAAAGGGUGACCCAGCAACGCCGCGUGGAGGAUGAAUGCCGUAAGGUUGUAAACUCCUGUUAGAGGGGAAGAAAAAUCUCGAUCAAAUCGAGAACUGACUGUACCCUCAGAGAAAGCCCCGGCUAACUACGUGCCAGCAGCCGCGGUACUACGUAGGGGGCGAGCGUUGUCCGGAUUUACUGGGUGUAAAGGGCGCGCAGGCGGGUUGACAAGUCAGAGGUGAAAUCCUACAGCUUAACUGUAGAACUGCCUUUGAGACUGUCAAUCUUGAGUACGGAAGAGAGAGAUGGAAUUCCAGGUGUAGUGGUGAAAUACGUAGAUAUCUGGAAGAACACCAGUGGCGAAGGCGGUCUCUUGGUCCAUUACUGACGCUAAGGCGCGAAAGCGUGGGGAGCAAACAGG
This 420-nucleotide ribosomal RNA is filed under the name uncultured bacterium. RNAcentral's name for it is "bacterial SSU rRNA". It matches the Rfam family "Bacterial small subunit ribosomal RNA", at positions 359 to 776 of the family's 1533-position model. The record is from RNAcentral.